This 595-nucleotide ribosomal RNA is filed under the name uncultured Bacteroidota bacterium. RNAcentral's name for it is "bacterial SSU rRNA". It matches the Rfam family "Bacterial small subunit ribosomal RNA", at positions 122 to 715 of the family's 1533-position model. The record is from RNAcentral. Lineage: Bacteria; Pseudomonadati; Bacteroidota.
CAACCNGCCGUCUACUCUNGGACAGCCUUCUGAAAGGAAGAUUAAUACAAGAUGGCAUCAUGAGUCCGCAUGUUCACAUGAUUAAAGGUAUUCCGGUAGACGAUGGGGAUGCGUUCCAUUAGAUAGUAGGUGGGGUAACGGCCCACCUAGUCUUCGAUGGAUAGGGGUUCUGAGAGGAAGGUCCCCCACAUUGGAACUGAGACACGGUCCAAACUCCUACGGGAGGCAGCAGUGAGGAAUAUUGGUCAAUGGGCGAGAGCCUGAACCAGCCAAGUAGCGUGAAGGAUGACUGCCCUAUGGGUUGUAAACUUCUUUUAUAAAGGAAUAAAGUCGGGUAUGUAUACCCGUUUGCAUGUACUUUGUGAAUAAGGAUCGGCUAACUCCGUGCCAGCAGCCGCGGUAAUACGGAGGAUCCGAGCGUUAUCCUGAUUUAUUGGGUUUAAAGGGAGCGUAGAUGGAUGUUUAAGUCAGUUGUGAAGGUUUGCGGCUCAACCGUAAAAUUGCAGUUGAUACUGGAUAUCUUGAGUGCAGUUGAGGCAGGCGGAAUUCGUGGUGUAGCGGUGAAAUGCUUAGAUAUCACGAAGAACUNCGAUUG